RNAcentral lists this long non-coding RNA (656 nucleotides) under Homo sapiens (human). RNAcentral describes it as "non-protein coding lnc-DCUN1D5-4:1". The record is from RNAcentral. Lineage: Eukaryota; Metazoa; Chordata; Mammalia; Primates; Hominidae.
AUGGCUCAUGCAGUUCAGUUAGGCUUUCAAGGUGCUACAUCCCCUAUUAUGGAAGAAUUACUCACUUUCCAUGACCAUACUCUUAUAAUUAUUUUCCUAAUUAGUUCCCUGGUCCUAUAUAUUAUUUCCCUAAUACUCACAACAAAUUAAUUCAUACUAACAGCAUAGAUGCCCAAGAAAUCGAGACUGUCUGAACUAUCUCACCUGCCAUUAUCUUAAUUUUAAUUGCCCUCCCAUCCCUACGUAUUCUAUAACAGAUGAGGUUCACAACCCUUCUAUUACCAUCAAAACAACUGGUCACCAAUGAUAUUGAAGCUAUGAGUAUACAGAACAUGAAGAGUUAGGCUUUGAUUCUUAUAUAACCCCAACAGCAGACUUAAAGCCAGGAGAGCUUCAACUCUUUGAAGUUGAUAACUGAACAGUUCUCCCAAUAGAGAUACCCAUCUGUAUAUUAGUCUCAUCCGAAGACGUCCUACACUCAUGAACUAUUCCCUCAUUAGGCAUCAAAACAGAUGCAAUUCCUGAAUGCUUAAACUACCUUGACUGCUACAUGACCAGGCCUUUACUACGGACAGUGCUCAAAAAUGUGUGGGUCUAACCACGGUUUUAUACCUAUUGUCCUAGAAUCAAUUCCCUUAAAAAAUUUCGAAACCUGA